UGGGGAAUAUUGCACAAUGGGCGCAAGCCUGAUGCAGCCAUGCCGCGUGUGUGAAGAAGGCCUUCGGGUUGUAAAGCACUUUCAGCGGGGAGGAAGGCGUUAAGGUUAAUAACCUUGGCGAUUGACGUUACCCGCAGAAGAAGCACCGGCUAACUCCGUGCCAGCAGCCGCGGUAAUACGGAGGGUGCAAGCGUUAAUCGGAAUUACUGGGGGUAAAGCGCACGCAGGCGGUCUGUCAAGUCGGAUGUGAAAUCCCCGGGCUCAACCUGGGAACUGCAUUCGAAACUGGCAGGCUAGAGUCUUGUAGAGGGGGGUAGAAUUCCAGGUGUAGCGGUGAAAUGCGUAGAGAUCUGGAGGAAUACCGGUGGCGAAGGCGGCCCCCUGGACAAAGACUGACGCUCAGGUGCGAAAGCGUGGGGAGCAAACAGG
Molecule: ribosomal RNA, 429 nt
Filed under: Chloroflexota bacterium
Lineage: Bacteria; Bacillati; Chloroflexota
Description: Chloroflexi bacterium partial 16S ribosomal RNA
Rfam family: Bacterial small subunit ribosomal RNA
Source: RNAcentral